This 484-nucleotide ribosomal RNA is filed under the name uncultured bacterium. RNAcentral describes it as "partial 16S ribosomal RNA". It matches the Rfam family "Bacterial small subunit ribosomal RNA", at positions 30 to 507 of the family's 1533-position model. The record is from RNAcentral.
AUUGAACGCUGGCGGCAUGCUUUACACAUGCAAGUCGAACGGCCGCGCGGGCUUCGUCCUGGCCGCGCGUGGCCAACGGGUGAGUAAUUCAUCCGAACGUGCCCAGCCUUUGGGGCUCGCCUGGCGUCAGCCGGAUUAAUCUCGUAUCCGACCUUAUGUUGAAACUCGUGGAUCGAAAGUUAUAGCCCUUUUUUCUGUCCCUAUGGCGUAUUUGCUCGUCGGUGUGGGAAAUGCUUACCAAGGCGACGUUCCGUAGCUGGUCUGAGUGGCCGACCAGCCACACGGGGACUGAGACACGGCCCAGACGCCUACGGGAGGAAGCAGGGGGGAAUUUUGGACAAUGGGGGCAAGCCUGAUCGAGCAAUGCCGCGUGAGGGAAGAAGGCCUUCGGAUUGUAAACCGCUUUUGUUCGGGAAGAAAAACUCUGGGCGAAUACACCGGGGGGAUGACGGUACCGAAAGAAUAAGCACCGGCUAACUACGUG